CGGACGGGCGAGUAAUGUCUGGGAAACUGCCUGAUGGAGGGGGAUAACUACUGGAAACGGUAGCUAAUACCGCAUAACGUCGCAAGACCAAAGAGGGGGACCUUGGGCCUCUUGCCAUCGGAUGUGCCCAGAUGGGAUUAGCUAGUAGGUGGGGUAACGGCUCACCUAGGCGACGAUCCCUAGCUGGUCUGAGAGGAUGACCAGCCACACUGGAACUGAGACACGGUCCAG
Molecule: ribosomal RNA, 231 nt
Filed under: uncultured bacterium
Lineage: Bacteria
Description: partial 16S ribosomal RNA
Rfam family: Bacterial small subunit ribosomal RNA
Source: RNAcentral